Molecule: ribosomal RNA, 490 nt
Filed under: uncultured bacterium
Lineage: Bacteria
Description: partial 16S ribosomal RNA
Rfam family: Bacterial small subunit ribosomal RNA
Source: RNAcentral
UGAACGCUGGCGGUAGGCCUAACACAUGCAAGUCGAACGGCAGCACAGUAAGAGCUUGCUCUUACGGGUGGCGAGUGGCGGACGGGUGAGGAAUACAUCGGAAUCUACUUUUUCGUGGGGGAUAACGUAGGGAAACUUACGCUAAUACCGCAUACGACCUACGGGUGAAAGCAGGGGAUCUUCGGACCUUGCGCGAUUGAAUGAGCCGAUGUCGGAUUAGCUAGUUGGCGGGGUAGAGGCCCACCAAGGCGACGAUCCGUAGCUGGUCUGAGAGGAUGAUCAGCCACACUGGAACUGAGACACGGUCCAGACUCCUACGGGAGGCAGCAGUGGGGAAUAUUGGACAAUGGGCGCAAGCCUGAUCCAGCCAUACCGCGUGGGUGAAGAAGGCCUUCGGGUUGUAAAGCCCUUUUGUUGGGAAAGAAAAGCAGCAGGUUAAUACCCCGCUGUUCUGACGGUACCCAAAGAAUAAGCACCGGCUAACUUCGUG